AGAAAUAUGUUUAGCUGAAGACUUAAGAAAGAUUACUAUUGAUGCAGGCGCAAAAGUAAGAGUAAAAGAAGAAAGCGUUAAAGAGUAAUGUUCGAAUAAGCGCUAAUUAUGCGAGUAAAUGGAUAAUAACGCGUAUAAAGAAAAGAAAAAAAAAUAUACAGAAAAAUAUAAAACAAAAAAUAUGCGUGAUGUAAAUGAAUAAUAAUACAGAAAUUCGUUAGGAAAUGAAAUUAAAUGUUGUCUGCCCCAUGAUUACUCUUGGUAUUAAAAAGUUGUGCUCUUGCGAGAACGAGCACAAAGAAUUUUUUUAAAUACUUAGAUUAACGAGUAUUCACACGAUAUAACUGCACAAUAAAAAAAGUAAAAUAAAAAAUAUAAGCCGACACACAUUGCGUACAAUGCAAUCAAACGAAAAGAUAUGGUUACUAUAUAAAAUACACGAACAAGUAUUGAUCGCCUGAGUCGUUUAGUUGUCGAAGCUAUUUAAGUAAGGAUCGUGGGGUGGACAUGUAGUAUAUAUGAUAUACAAAUAUAUAUAAAUAAAUAAAUAAAUAUAUAUGUAUAUUUAUAUAUUAUAUAAAUAUAUAUGUAUAUGAUAUAAAUAUAAUUCAUUGAAUUAAAAUGAUUGAAUGACUGCGUGAAUGAUAACUGAUAAUGCAUUAAAAUAAAAAGGAAGAAUGACUCGUACGAUUAUAAAUGUGUUUUUAAAUUACAAAAAAAUAAAAUAAAUAUUUCAUUCUCAUUCUGUGAUGACUGUCUGAAUAUGAAAAGAAAAGAAGAAAUGUUUUCAUGAAUCUAUGCUGAUUAAUUAAUUAAAUUAUUAUAGCGAAUAAACAAUUCGACUCGUGUUGUACUAAUUGUGCAAAAGAAAUAAAAUGAAAUCACCUACAAGUGUGAAAAUAUGUGCGUCUCAUUCGCUCGUGUCGAUGAGAGACGCGUUAUGUUCGUAUAGCGUGUUAUAUAUGAAUCAUAUACACUAUUUAAACAAAAAAGGGAGAACACGUACGCUAUAUCUGAAUGCAGAGAACAAACAGUAUGAUUUGUAUACUGUAUAACUUUAGUCGUUUACUAUUGAUUUCGAGAAAUGUGUAUAAAUUAUUAUGUGUAAUUAAACAAAGAUCAUUUAGUAAAUUCUAAGAGUAUAUAAUAUAUAUAAUAUAUAUAUAUAUAGAUAUAUAUAUUAUACAAAAAACUGAAUCACACAUGCGCGCGUGCGCGCACAUGCACAUAUACAAAUAAAAAACAUACCAAGAUAUUGUGAAAAUUACAAAAUCAACAGUACUGCAAGGCCAUUGUAUUAUACAUUUGUGUAACUAAAAUAGCGAUGAGAUAAUAUAUCGAAAAUACUUCAUUCAUAAUUAAUUAUGAAGUAAAUGUUGAGACACAUUGUUACGUGAAGUAAUAUGUUAUAUUAAUUGUAACAAAUUUAUAUAUUACACUUGGAAGUACACUAUAUUUAUAAAUAUUAAGAGACUAUUCAAACACUAGUAUAACAUAUUAAA
This is a long non-coding RNA of Apis dorsata (giant honeybee), 1502 nucleotides long. RefSeq lists it as uncharacterized. The record is from RefSeq and is a predicted model, not a curated record. The transcript has 2 exons. Lineage: Eukaryota; Metazoa; Arthropoda; Insecta; Hymenoptera; Apidae.